RNAcentral lists this ribosomal RNA (274 nucleotides) under uncultured bacterium. RNAcentral's name for it is "partial 16S ribosomal RNA". It matches the Rfam family "Bacterial small subunit ribosomal RNA", at positions 523 to 796 of the family's 1533-position model. The record is from RNAcentral.
CUACGAAGGGGGCUAGCGUUGUUCGGAAUCACUGGGCGUAAAGCGCGCGUAGGUGGAUCAAUUAGUUGAGGGUGAAAUCCCGGGGCUCAACCUCGGAACUGCCUUCAAUACUGUUGAUCUUGAGACCGAGAGAGGUGAGUGGAAUUCCUAGGGUAGAGGUGAAAUUCGUAGAUAUUAGGAAGAACACCAGUGGCGAAGGCGGCUCACUGGCUCGGUACUGACGCUGAGGUGCGAAAGCGUGGGGAGCAAACAGGAGUAGAAACCCUAGUAGUCC